This 497-nucleotide ribosomal RNA is filed under the name uncultured bacterium. RNAcentral describes it as "partial 16S ribosomal RNA". It matches the Rfam family "Bacterial small subunit ribosomal RNA", at positions 28 to 507 of the family's 1533-position model. The record is from RNAcentral.
GGUGAACGCUGGCGGUGUGCCUAAUACAUGCAAGUCGAACGGACGCACUGUAAGCUUUCUUCUCUGAUGUUAGCGGCUGACGGGUGAGUAACACGUGGAUAGCCAACCUCUAAUUCUUGGAGGACAUCGUAAAACCGGAUAUAAUACCACAUAAUACUUUGAACCGGAUGGUUCAGAAGUUAUUCACAGUCUUGCUGUCACUUAUAGAUGGAUUCGUGCUGCAUUAGCUAGUUGGUAAGGUAACGGCUUACCAAGGCAACGAUGCAUAGCCGACCUGAGAGGGUGAUCGGCCCCACUGGAACUGAGACACGGUCCAGACUCCUACGGGAGGCAGCAGUAGGGAAUCUUCCGCAAUGGGCGAAAGCCUGACGGAGCAAAGCCGCGUGGGUGAUGAAGGUCUUCGGAUCGUAAAACUCUGUUAUUAGGGAAGAAAAUAAGUGUCAGUAAAUGUGCACAUCCUGACGGUACCUAAUGAGAAAGCCACGGCUAACUACGUG